AUGUUUGAUUAUGUGAAUCAUCGGUGAUGUGAUAUGUGAAAUGAUGUUGAGCUCAUAAAACUGCACCUAGGGUGAUUGAGAUUUAGCCAGAGAUAUGAAGUACAUGCCUGUUUAUUUACGUCACCUCCCGCACUAUAUGCUCAUAUUGGAUCUAACUUAAGUGCACAGUCUUGUCGUACAUACCUUAUUCAUGGUUCUGACUCGUAGAUGACUAGUGAUUUAUCGCUCGGCUAUUAUGAGAGAAUAUAAUUAAGCAUAAUUAUAUUACACCCAAUCUUGUCAUACAGACCCUUUUUUAUAGUUCCGACUUAUGUGCAGUACAUUGUCGUAUAAGUCAUUGUAGUGACUCCGGCUAGAUUGACUUUUGAGCUAUGAUUCAGCCGUACAGACUACCACAGGGGUUCCGGCUAACAUAUCAUAUUUCUAUGAAAUCAUUCUUACCUGGAUUGUUUACUUUGUUAUAUUUUGGCCUGGCAUACAUAUGAAUAUGAUUAUGUGAAGCAUGAAUUGUUAUGAUUUCAAAUAUAUAUAUAUAUAUAUGCUUAUAUCUUGAUUCUGGGAAAAUUAUACAUGUUUUACAGAGAGGGGUUAGAUAUGUUGAUAAAGAAAAUGAUUUUGUAAAACAUUUGUUUUUGCCCACUCACGUUUUCUGUUUUGCGCCCUUCCAGGUUUUAAGUAAGCUUGUUGUUGGUGGCUUGAGGACGUCGGCAGUUCUGACUUAUCCAAAUAAUAGUGAGACAUUCUUGGUACUGUAUAACUAGUACUUGUCCUACUGGACUGCACCUAGACUUUAUGCUCUGAUUAGGAGUGUUUACUGUUGUAACUAACUCCUAUCACUAUCUGUUUAGUAGUGCAAUCUAGUAAUUCGGUUUUUAAUUAUUCGUAUAAUUCUUAUCUUUAUUGCUUCUGCACUGUGGCCAGCAUGUCUUGAUCUCGAUCGGGGUGUGUCAUGAAGUGGGUUCCUUCCCGCUCACCAGCGCACUCUGAUAUUUAGGCACUCUUAGGUUUAAAUUUGUUCACAUUUUUCCACAUCAUUGCACUUUAUGGCUUCGUCACCUUCCAGGUGUCGGCCAGCGCAGCUCGAUUCAGAGUCCUAGUAGACAUUCCGGGUCGGGGUGUGUCACUAGGUAUUAAUAACAUCAUUAAUUAUUUCAAUAAUAAAAUAUUUUUAUUUCUAAAAAUAUUCAUUUAAUGUUAAAAAUGUUACAAUUAGUAUAUUUAUAUUUAUGGCUAAAUUUUUUAUCAUAUAUUUUUAUUUUUAGUUUGUACUCAUUUUUAAUUUGCAACCCUUUUUUAAUUUGUAUCAAUUUUCUUUUCAGUUUUAAUUUGUACCCAUAUAUUAAUUUCUUUUUGUGCCCAUAUUUUAUAAAGUUUUAUUUGUAUUUGUACCCAUAUUUUUUUAUUUAUAUGUAUCCAUUUUUAAUUUUCAUUCUUAAAUAUAUCAAUUUUUUAUAUGUAAAAUGUACCCUUUUUUUAUAUAUAAAAUAUAUUCAAUUUUUUUUUCUAAUCCGUUUUUAAACUUAAUUAUAUGGGUACAUUCUUUUUUCUUUAAUUUGAGAAUAUAUCCAUGUUAAGUUUAAUCGAAUAAAUUUACUAAUUUUAUUAAACCUAAUAUCUUCUUCUCUUUUUUUUAUUUUUUUUAUUUUGAAGAAUGUACCCAUGUUUGAUACAAUAAUUUUUUGGUUAAUUUUGAUGAAUGUACCCAUGUUUAUAUACACACACAAUAGUAUAUUUAUAUUUUAAUACUUUUAAUCCCACAAAUUAUGGUUUUUUAUUUAAAAUAUCAUUAAUAUAAACAACUAUAAAUUUCAAUUUUUAAUUUAAAAAAUAUGGUAACGUACAUAGAAAUAAAUUAUCAUAUUAAUUUCACGAACUUGGAUCCAAAAUUGAAAACCGACAAGGUUUCAGUCAAAGAAUAUUCAUAACUAGGGACCGCAUCCAAUGUCUCCCUUUGUGGGAUUAAAAAUAUUAAAAUAUAAAUAUACUAUUGUAUGUGUGUAUAUAUAUAAACAUGGGUUCAUUCAUCAAAAUUAACCAAAAAUUAUUGUAUCAAAACAUGGGUACAUUCUUCAAAAUCACAAAAAAAAGAAGAUAUUAGGCUUAAUAAAAUUAGUAAAUUUCUUCAGUUAAACUUAACAUGGAUACAUUCUCAAAUCAAAGAAAAAAGAAUGUAUGUAACGACCAGUCCCCAAUUUUUACGAUUUUUAUAAUUUUAAAAAGUGAAUUUACAAAAAUGCCCUUCGAGACAAAGUGUUGACUCAUGUUGUCUGCUGUGUUGUGUCACGUAAGAUUCAUUUUCUUGGUGUAUCCUUGUAGUAAUCGUCGCUACGGACGCGUGGCGCAAAUGGAGCGCAAUUU
This 2358-nucleotide long non-coding RNA is filed under the name Malus domestica (apple). Its description in RNAcentral is "long non-coding RNA (MDOM_LNC001794)". Lineage: Eukaryota; Viridiplantae; Streptophyta; Magnoliopsida; Rosales; Rosaceae. The record is from RNAcentral.